RNAcentral lists this ribosomal RNA (446 nucleotides) under uncultured bacterium. RNAcentral describes it as "bacterial SSU rRNA". It matches the Rfam family "Bacterial small subunit ribosomal RNA", at positions 335 to 800 of the family's 1533-position model. The record is from RNAcentral.
ACUCCUACGGGAGGCAGCAGUGGGAAUCUUAGACAAUGGGGGCAACCCUGAUCUAGCCAUGCCGCGUGAGUGAUGAAGGCCCUAGGGUUGUAAAGCUCUUUCAGCUGGGAAGAUAAUGACGGUACCAGCAGAAGAAGCCCCGGCUAACUCCGUGCCAGCAGCCGCGGUAAUACGGAGGGGCUAGCGUUGUUCGGAAUUACUGGGCGUAAAGCGCACGUAGGCGGAUUGGAAAGUUAGAGGUGAAAUCCUGCAGCUCAACUGUAGAAUUGCCUUUGAUACUGGUUGUCUUGAAUUAUUGUGAAGUAGUUAGAAUAUGUGGUGUAGCGGUGAAAUGCAUAGAUAUCACAUAGAAUACCGAUUGCGAAGGCAGAUUACUAACAAUACAUUGACACUGAUGGACGAAAGCGUGGGGAGCGAACAGGAUUAGAUACCCUGGUAGGCUCUGC